This 551-nucleotide long non-coding RNA is filed under the name Dermacentor andersoni. RNAcentral describes it as "uncharacterized LOC126536434". The record is from RNAcentral. Lineage: Eukaryota; Metazoa; Arthropoda; Arachnida; Ixodida; Ixodidae.
UAGUUUCGUACAGUUUAGGUUUGACAUGCGAUCGCGCGUCGACAUCGGACGCUAUGGCACGCACACUCGUGCCUUAUGUGCCACCGAAGCCCCGAAGUGCUCUGGCAUAUACCUUCACAUAUAUGCAAUGGCAAGCCCUUCCGUGUGUUCCAAAGACAAUGCCUACGCCUAGCCACAGCAGCUCCCUCAUACAGACUCUGCAAGCCAAGAGGCCGUGGAGGCAAAUGCAGGUAAGAGGCAAGAAGCAAUAGCACUGGUAUCGACAUUCAUCUAAUUUCUUUCUUUUUCUUUUGUUUAGGCAGCAAGCACACCCCGAACAGCCACCUUGACUGCGGGUGUGUCACCCUAGUUGCCAAGGAAACAUUUGAGGGAAAGCGACAGGCAAUGUGAACAGCCACUUCUCCAUGUAAACGAUACUCUUUCUCUUGGAUGACUCCUACGCCUCGCCACGCCAGCACACUUGUGCACAAAGAUGCCGCGAAGGCACGUGCAGGUCAGAGGCAAGAAGCAGUGGCACUGGUGUCGACAUUCACCCACUUUCUUUUUCUUAC